This 253-nucleotide ribosomal RNA is filed under the name uncultured bacterium. Its description in RNAcentral is "partial 16S ribosomal RNA". It matches the Rfam family "Bacterial small subunit ribosomal RNA", at positions 524 to 776 of the family's 1533-position model. The record is from RNAcentral.
UACGUAGGGUGCAAGCGUUGUCCGGAAUUAUUGGGCGUAAAGAGCUCGUAGGCGGCUCGUCGCGUCGACCGUGAAAACCCGCGGCUUAACUGCGGGCUUGCGGUUGAUACGGGCGGGCUAGAGUUCGGUAGGGGAGACUGGAAUUCCUGGUGUAGCGGUGAAAUGCGCAGAUAUCAGGAGGAACACCGGUGGCGAAGGCGGGUCUCUGGGCCGAUACUGACGCUGAGGAGCGGAAGCGUGGGGAGCGAACAGG